ACUGUCAAAAUCAAAUUGCACAUAACUAUACAUUUAACUAUUAAUAAUAAUAACUACACAAUUUACAAGGUACACACAUUUUCUUUGAUUUUUUUUUCAUUGUAUUAGUUUCAUUACUUUUUAUCCAUAACAAUAUUACAAUUGUAUGGUACUCUCUUUAAAAAUGUAAAGCUUGCUAGGAUAAUACUUGAAAGUAAUACAAUAUUUUUGUAAAAAUAUUAUAACAUCCAAAUAUUAUAGUGUAGGACAAUUUUUAAUAAUAUUCACUUUCAACACAAAUUAUUUUAAAUUCGAUUUUUUCGCUAACACAUAUAAUAUUUGUACAUAUUUUAUUUGAACAAAGGCGAAUAAUAUUGUGCAUUAUAAACAUUAUCUGAACUAAAACAUAAAUAAUCAUAAUAAUAAUAAAAUAUAAAAAUAAGAAAAAAGUUUCAAGGGUGCGUAUAACUACAUAUUGUACUGUAUUAUCUUUUUAAUUAAUUAUAGUACAUAAUGUGUACAUACACACAUACAGGUACAUCAUUUAAAAGGCACUUAGAAUAUAUAUAUUUUUUUUUUUUUUGUCUUUUUCUGUCAUUGACAUGAACAAUAAGUAAAAAUAAUCCAUUUUUAAAAACUCACAAACAACAAUAUUAAUAUUGCUGCUUGACAAAAUAGCAUUGGCCAUGCCAUGUACAUAUUAUUAUACAUUUAGCGUUAAAAUAAUUAAAUUUAGUUUAAAGUAAAAUAAUAAAACUUUAAAUAAAAAGAUAAAAAGUAAAAUUAAAAAACAUAUUAUAAAAUAUUGUUAGAGUUCUAAUUAAAAAUCAUCCCCACGUUGGAGAACAGUAGAAAAACAAAAUUACAACAGCACCUAUCUUAUAAUAAUACAAUAAUAAUACAAUAAGCGAGAAAAUAAAAAACCAAAACAAUUUUUUCUUCAUUUUAUCAAUAAUAUUAAUAUUGUCAUAAUGAUUUUUUUCGUAUACAAGACAUAUUGCAUCAAUAAAAUCUAAAAUUUGUACUGUACUUUUAUGUUUUCUGGAAAAUCUUUUCACAAAGUUCCUAUAAAAUGACAAUACUUAAAAAUAGCUACUGGGUAGUAUGAACAAACAACCAAUGAUAAAAGUUAAUGUCUAUAAUACAAGAUUUUUAUCAGAGAACUAUACCAACACCAACACCUGAUGUAAAUAUAAAAAAAAAUAUGAUGUUUAAUUUAAUAAGCACAUUGAUAAAAUUAUACACUAUACAAUUAUUAUUGGAAUUUAAAUGUGGAAAAAAAAUGUAGUAGUGCUUUUAACAUUGAGAAUUCUGUGAGUAUUGCAAUAUUAAAAUGUUCCAAUGAAAAUAUCAAAUUUUAAAAUACAAAAAAAAAAUAAUAAUAAGGAACAAUUUUACAAAUUGUAUGUUGUGUGAUUGAAGGUUUUAAUGAAUUCAGUACCUAUAUUUUGUUAACAUUUUAAUACUAAACUGGUCUUAAUUGCUUAUUAUUAUUAAUUUUAUUUUUGUACAUUGUAUUACUUAGCCUAUUAUAAUUUCCUUUUCUAAGUACAAAGCCAUUAAAAAUCCAUAAUAAUAAUAAUAAUAAUAGUAAUAAAUCAUAAAAUAAUAAAUUAUUGUAAAAAAAAUAUUUGCAAUAAUAAAAAAAAAAAAUAUGUAUUAACAAAUUGAGCAGAGCAGAUCUGUUUAAAAUAAUAAUGAAAAAAAAGGUAAUAAUGUACUUAAUAUUUAACUUAAAAAGCAAAGUAUCGAUACACAACAAUUAUGUGAGACAAAAAAAACAAUAAAUUAAGAGAUAAUAAUAAUAAUAUAUCAUUUUAAAAUAUAUUAAUGUACACAAAAAUAUGAACAUGUGCAGGUCUUUGAUUAUUAUUUUACAGACAUUUUGACUAAAGUAAUAAAGCAAAAAUUACUCAGUGGACACAAUUAAUCUAACAAUAUUAUAUUAUUGCCGAAACAAAUUGUGUAUAUUAGGCCUGUAAUUUUUUCCCCCAUCUGAUGAUAAUUGACAAGUGUUAUUUUGUUUAAAUAUAAACAGAAAAUAUUGGGAAUUGGUAGGUCCACCCAAAAUAUCUAGUUCAUACUCUUGUGUAAACUAACAUUUUUUAAAAAAGACAUUAUACAGGUACAUACAUUGCAGUUAUAUUUUUUUUUUUUACAAGUCAAUUGAAACUUCCAGUGAAUUAUAUAUUUUUAAAAUAUAUGGCACACGUAAAACACAAAAAUCGAUUGUAUCAUUUUCGGAUUUACAAAAAACAUUGACACUUUAUGUAACAAAAAUCUUAACAACUAAACUUAAAACAUUGUACUAUCUAUAAAUCAAAACAUUAAAUGUUUGUUUGUACUAUAAUAUUACACAAUUUAUACUUGAUUAAUAAAGAAAAAAACAUGUUAUAUAUACAUGUAUAAUAAAAUAAAAUACUCAAUUCACAGAAUUAAAAAAAAAAAAACACACAAAAAAUUCAAUUUUACAUUGUGAGGUGAGUAUAAUAUCAAUAAUAAUAAUAAUAAUAUAAUAUUUUUAAUUGUUGAUAAGCACCAGGCUACAUUAUUUAAUGUUCAAUAAUGAUUUAAAAUUCCAUAAAAUGAAUAGCAGAAAAAAAAAUGGAUAAUCUAUUAAUAAUACAAAUAUUAAUCAAAACAUAAUAUAUCAUCAAUCAGGUGUGUGAUCCUACUUCAUUGUUUAAUGCCGGUUUAAUAAAGAAUAAAAACAAAAAAAAAAAAACUAAAUAACUUUAAUUGUUUUAAUAAUAUUCUACAUUUAAAACUGAUAAAUUGAUUAAAUAUUUUAUUUGUGUAAAUUAUAUUCAGUGAUUAAAAGGGCUUAAACAAAAUUUUAAUAUUAAAUUUAUAUUAAGUCUUUAAGGGCAUAUUAUGUUUUUUUUUUAAAAUAUACAGUAUUUACAGUAUAUUUUAUUUUACAGUACAUAGUCUUUUAUUAAUU
Non-coding RNA from Cinara cedri, 2923 nucleotides. The record is from the annotation of a GenBank genome assembly. Lineage: Eukaryota; Metazoa; Arthropoda; Insecta; Hemiptera; Aphididae.